This 3724-nucleotide unclassified non-coding RNA is filed under the name Hevea brasiliensis (rubber tree). Lineage: Eukaryota; Viridiplantae; Streptophyta; Magnoliopsida; Malpighiales; Euphorbiaceae. The record is from RNAcentral.
AACAAGUCCUCCAUUCUGGAAAAGAGUACAGAAUCGAACAGCAGUUUUUGAUUUUUUUUAAUUGCUUCUACAAUAAUUAAGAUAAGAUUAUUCAAGCAAAAAGCACAACUAAGAUUAAAGUUCAAUUCAAGACAAUUGAACAGUCUAAACUACCACGAAAGGAAACCCAAAAUCCUAACAAGUAACCAGAACUGAAGAGACCACCAUUUUGCUAACUUCACUGUAAUCAAAACUUGUUUCUGUACCAGUACACACCUUUGCUCUGAUCGCGAUCAUCUGGCUCGACGUAAACACACUCCUUUGCCUCCCUCCACAUUGCCUUGUAGAAAGGAGUCCCAUCGAAUUGGUAGUAUUCUCCCAAAAUUGGUUUUAUGGCUUUUGUUGCCUCCAUUGCAUUAUAAUGUGGCAUUGUUGAGAACAAAUGGUGUGCUACAUGAGUGUCCGUUAUAUUAUGGAACACCUUGUUCAAGAUUCCAUAAUCUCUAUCAACAGUUGCUAGAGCUCCUCUUAGCCAAUCCCAUUCAGAAGAAUCAUAAUGUGGCAAUGAAGGAUGAGUAUGCUGCAGGUAUGUGAUCAUCACAAGAAAUGCAUUCACAACCAACAAUGGCACUCCAUAAACACAAACAACCCAAGCAAGCCCCUUUGCUACAGCAAGACUGUAGAGACCAUAAGUGACUGCAAGAACACCAGCAUCAGAUAUACAUAUCUCAGUCCGCUCACGAUCAGUGUAGAUAGGGCCGUAUGGGUCAUAGUGGCAGGCAAAACGAUUAUAAGGCCUGCCUGAAACAUUGAAUGCCAGGUAUAGGGGCCAGCCAAGGGUAAGAGUGAUGAUAAGUGUAAGGACACGGCCUAGUGGGUUGUUAAGGUAUUUGGAGAACCAACGGAUGUUGGAUUUCUUCUUUGGGACAAAUACUUCAUCUCUUUCAAGGGAAGCUGUGUUAGAGUGAUGACGGCGGUGGCUAUGUUUCCAUGAAAAGUAAGGAACUAGCAGGCAGGAGUGGAGAAUGAGGCCUACUGUGUCAUCAAGCCAUUGAUAGUCACUGAAGGCAUGAUGCCCACACUCGUGUGCUAUAACCCAAACACCAGUUAAGACACAGCCUUGGAGGGACCAGUAAAUUGGCCAGGCCACAUAAGAGAGAGGCUGAGGGAGGAGGUGGAAGUAAUUGGUGGCAAUGUAAUAGAAGAUAGAGGCAAUGGUCAGGUCUUGAAUGACAUAAGAAAAUGAGCGGAGAACAGAACGCUCAAAACAAUGAGGGGGUAUAGCUUUCUUAAUCUGACCAAGAGUGAAUGGUGGCUUUGAGUAAGGAACUCGCUUCAAGACAUCAGAUUCCAACUGCUUAGGUGAAGGAGGAACAGACAUUCUGCCACCGGCACCCAUUGUUCCACAACCUGAACAUAAGAGUGGAAGAGUGAGUUACUUCAUGAUGGGAUUCAUAGUGACUGGCAUUAGUUUAGACGCCCAAAAUUGCUUAUUAGGAAAAAAGUACAAUUUUAGAUAUUGUUUAAAAAAGCUUCUUUAUUUUAGUAUUUUUAUAAUUAAAACUCACUGGAGGCUUCAACAUUUCCCAACUAACUGAACAAUUUCAACAUAAACAACCAACUUCCCACAGAAAACGUGUACUACUUUAACCAAAACAUGCUAAAUCCAACUCAAUGAACUAUCCAUUGAAUCUUACAGGCAUCAAGUUACAAGCAUAUGUGAUUUCUAAUUAAGCAUAAUGAUGUGAAAGACAUGCUUGCAUUUGUGACUAGAAACAGUUUUAUAUCUCCUUUUCUUUUCCCUGUGCAAUGCAAUAAGAGAAUGGCAUUCCUAUAAUCAUAGGUAGUAAUACAAUCUUAAAACUAGAUGCAGAAAGAAUAUAGUACAACGGCAGAAAAUUGAUAGUAUAAGAUUAGACACAAAUGUUCAUGUAAUGCUAAACAUGGUUGGUAAAACAAGUAUCAAAGUGUAUUAAUAUGCAAAAUCAUUUAAUAUGCAUCAUAGGCAUUCAUGCUUCAAAAUUCCCUUUUUCUAGAAGGAAAUAACAGAAACAACCAUAAAAUUCACGGUGCACCAGAAUACAGGUUCUUGACCAAUGGCCAUAUAACGAAAAUGCCAUGCUUGCUGGAAUGAAUGUGUAAAAUUAACAGCAAUACAUUUACACAGAAACCAGAAGGAAUUUGAAUAAAAGGCACAAGAGGAAAUGCCCAUGGACCAUGCCUAUCAAACGAUAAGUUUAGCAUAAAGCCAUAAAGCAAAAUCGCACAAUUCAUGUGGAAGUCUUUUUCUUUAUCAAACUUUUUCUUCGUGGUUGGUCAUUUGUUUCAUAUAUAAUAUAAAUGCCCACUUGACCUUGAGUCGGUAUACGAGUAGUAUUUAUAGUGACAAUGACAUUUAAAGACAAAUAAUAUAUAGAAUAAGAAAAUAUAAUAAGAAUCUGAACAGCAUUAAAAUUGAAGAGCUAGUGCAUGUAAAACAUUGUGUACUUGCUGUUAAUUCACAAUCCUAGGGUCCUUUAAACCCCUUUUAUUGAAAAAUCCCUAUGUAGUGGUGUUGCUCUACCUGCCAUUAAAUUCCCUUUUCAAUAGUACAAUAUCUUAACUUGCCUACACGUGACAGUUAACAUCAACCUCGCACUAUCACAGAUAAGCUCGGUAAAAUACAAACGGACGAAGUCCACAAGAAAAUGACAACUUAGUCUUUGCCAUCCGGGCAACAACUCGACGCUACCCUUCACCAAUACAACACGUACUUAGCGCUCGCAAGCCAAUUGUGCAGAAAAAUUGCCAAAAAAUUAGGUUAUACAUAAGAUGUGAAGCCUGGGAUAGAGGAGUCUUCUAAUAUAAGAUGCAUGCUUACAGUAGGACUCGUCCGCACGAGCGAGCCAAUCGUGGGCUAGUAAUCUGUUUUCAGCGCAUUCAUCUGCACAUGCUCACAUGUGCAGAAGAAUCAAUUGUGCAUUUUUUAAUUGACAUUUGAUGUAUAAGAGACUACAAUAAGGAGACCCUCUUUCGGCACAACAACGAUAAACCUACCAAGGGUCAACUUUCAACCAUUAUUCCACACCAUCAACCAUACAAAACACAUAAAGGCUGAAUGAACCAUUUGAAUUGACAGAUGACACCUAGCUCACCAAAAACACUAUGCAGUCGUCCUGACAUAAAUGACCAAGACCCAAAUUCAACUUCGUACAGCUAAUUAAAGGACGGAACAAACGGUGGGGCAACUGGAAAACGAAAGGAAAACGAAAGGAGGGCAACUGGGUCCUCCCAGAAAUCAUACCAGAUCAGACACCUCAUUUUCUGAAGCUAAUAAAAAUAUUUUAUUACAAAAAAUUUGAUAUGAUUCAUCCCCAAAUUUUAUUCAGGGACGAACAACAAUUAAUUUAACAGCAUCCCCCAUCUUGAGCUGCAACGACCCAUUUGAUUCUAGCGGAAGAAAUUAAUGUUUCUAAUAUAUGUUUGUUAGGUACAAAUGCAUAUUUAUGAAUAUCUUUUCAAUUUUUUUUUUGACCAUAAUAUCUUUUCAAUUUAAUUAGUAAUAAUUACAACAAUUGAAUUUGUCAUUCACAAAUUUACCGGCAACAGCUUCCGACUUUUUGUCAAACAAGAUCUGAUGUUUUAUUUAAAAUAUUCCUUAAAAAUAUAAAGAGAAAAAUACAAGAAACCAAUAAGGAAAUCCAGAGAAUCCAAAGAGAGAAAUUGCAUUAAAACAACUUAUAUCGUGUGUAGAUCGGUGGGAGGA